Molecule: ribosomal RNA, 680 nt
Filed under: Bacillus thuringiensis
Lineage: Bacteria; Bacillati; Bacillota; Bacilli; Caryophanales; Bacillaceae
Description: bacterial SSU rRNA
Rfam family: Bacterial small subunit ribosomal RNA
Source: RNAcentral
AUUAGAUACCCUGGUAGUCCACGCCGUAAACGAUGAGUGCUAAGUGUUAGAGGGUUUCCGCCCUUUAGUGCUGAAGUUAACGCAUUAAGCACUCCGCCUGGGGAGUACGGCCGCAAGGCUGAAACUCAAAGGAAUUGACGGGGGCCCGCACAAGCGGUGGAGCAUGUGGUUUAAUUNGAAGCAACGCGAAGAACCUUACCAGGUCUUGACAUCCUCUGAAAACCCUAGAGAUAGGGCUUCUCCUUCGGGAGCAGAGUGACAGGUGGUGCAUGGUUGUCGUCAGCUCGUGUCGUGAGAUGUUGGGUUAAGUCCCGCAACGAGCGCAACCCUUGAUCUUAGUUGCCAUCAUUAAGUUGGGCACUCUAAGGUGACUGCCGGUGACAAACCGGAGGAAGGUGGGGAUGACGUCAAAUCAUCAUGCCCCUUAUGACCUGGGCUACACACGUGCUACAAUGGACGGUACAAAGAGCUGCAAGACCGCGAGGUGGAGCUAAUCUCAUAAAACCGUUCUCAGUUCGGAUUGUAGGCUGCAACUCGCCUACAUGAAGCUGGAAUCGCUAGUAAUCGCGGAUCAGCAUGCCGCGGUGAAUACGUUCCCGGGCCUUGUACACACCGCCCGUCACACCACGAGAGUUUGUAACACCCGAAGUCGGUGGGGUAACCUUUUUGGAGCCAGCCGC